This 335-nucleotide unclassified non-coding RNA is filed under the name soil metagenome. RNAcentral's name for it is "partial contains 5.8S ribosomal RNA, internal transcribed spacer 2, and large subunit ribosomal RNA". The stretch from base 1 to 120 matches the Rfam family "5.8S ribosomal RNA", at positions 35 to 154 of the family's 154-position model. The record is from RNAcentral.
GAUGAAGAACGCAGCGAAAUGCGAUAAGUAAUGUGAAUUGCAGAAUUCAGUGAAUCAUCGAAUCUUUGAACGCACAUUGCGCCCGCCAGUAUUCUGGCGGGCAUGCCUGUUCGAGCGUCAUUUCAACCCUUAAGCCUAGCUUAGUAUUGGGAAUCGACUUUACUGUCGUUCCUCAAAUUCAACGGCGGAUUUAUAGCAAUCUCUGAACGUAGUAAUUUUUUUCCUCGUUUUUGAAAUACUAUAAACCUCAGCCGCUAAACCCCCAAUUUUUCUAUGGUUGACCUCGGAUCAGGUAGGAAUACCCGCUGAACUUAAGCAUAUCAAUAAGCGGAGGA